Molecule: ribosomal RNA, 290 nt
Filed under: uncultured bacterium
Lineage: Bacteria
Description: partial 16S ribosomal RNA
Rfam family: Bacterial small subunit ribosomal RNA
Source: RNAcentral
GCCCAACGGGACGCAGCAGUGAGGAAUAUUGGUCAAUGGACGAGAGUCUGAACCAGCCAAGUAGCGUGAAGGAUGACUGCCCUAUGGGUUGUAAACUUCUUUUAUAAAGGAAUAAAACGAGGCACGUGUGCCUUUUUGCAUGUACUUUAUGAAUAAGGAUCGGCUAACUCCGUGCCAGCAGCCGCGGUAAUACGUAGGUGGCAAGCGUUGUCCGGAUUUACUGGGUGUAAAGGGCAGGCAGCCGGGCUGACAAGUCAGAUGUGAAAUCCCACGGCUCAACCGCGGAACUG